Molecule: long non-coding RNA, 257 nt
Filed under: Olea europaea (common olive)
Lineage: Eukaryota; Viridiplantae; Streptophyta; Magnoliopsida; Lamiales; Oleaceae
Description: long non-coding RNA (OEUR_LNC009368)
Source: RNAcentral
UGUGGCCAAUGAAUGAAUAUGUUUCAUGAAGUGUACAUAGUUCGAGAGAAGAUUGUGCAUUUUAGACCAAAUGGUAGAAAUCCUAGGUUUGUGUAGAGGAUAAAUAUAUACCUCUAGUCCUAGGUGACCCAAUGAGCUAUUUUCAUAACAAUUUAAUGUGAUUGUUUGGCUGUAAUCGACAUAGAGAUAUAGUAUGUUAAACCAAUCAAUUAGGGUUAAUUUCACUCGAGAGAGAUAAUUAGCUAAAAUUGAAAAAU